Molecule: ribosomal RNA, 362 nt
Filed under: uncultured bacterium
Lineage: Bacteria
Description: bacterial SSU rRNA
Rfam family: Bacterial small subunit ribosomal RNA
Source: RNAcentral
GACGAACGCUGGCGGCGUGCUUAACACAUGCAAGUCACGGGGGCCCGCAAGGGCAACCGGCGAACGGGUGCGUAACACGUGAGCAACCUGCCUAUCUGCGGGGGGAGUAGCCGGCCCAACGGCCGGGUAAUACCGCAUACGUUCACGAGGGGACAUCCCCUUGUGAGGAAAACUCCGGUGCAGAUAGAGGGGCUCGCGGCCUAUCAGCUAGUUGGUGAGGUAACGGCUCACCAAGGCGACGACGGGGAGCUGGUCUGAGAGGAUGGCCAGCCACAUUGGGACUGCGACACGGCCCAGACUCCUACGGGAGGCAGCAGUGGGGAAUAUUGCGCAAUGGACGAAAGUCUGACGCAGCGACGCCG